CUUAGAGCCGAAAUUAAAAAUGGCCUUCAGAGAUUGAAGAAUGUGAACACAGCAGGAGAAACAUAUAUGCACGAAGGAUUAAAAGCAGCCUAUGAACAAAUUGAGAAGGCUGGAGGACACAGAACUGCCAGUAUUGUGGUGGCCCUGAUAGAUGGGGAGCUACUAGGUUUGUUGCCGAAUUAUGCUAUACAGGCGGCUGAUCGUGCAAGAGAAUUGGGUGCUAGAGUGUACUGUGUUGGAGUUAAGGAUUUCAAUGAAGACCAGG
Long non-coding RNA from Protopterus annectens (West African lungfish), 265 nucleotides. RefSeq lists it as uncharacterized. The record is from RefSeq and is a predicted model, not a curated record. NCBI's taxonomy places the organism in Eukaryota, Metazoa, Chordata, Ceratodontiformes, Protopteridae. The transcript has 3 exons.